ACGCUGGCGGCAGGCCUAACACAUGCAAGUCGAGCGGUAGAGAGAAGCUUGCUUCUCUUGAGAGCGGCGGACGGGUGAGUAAUGCCUAGGAAUCUGCCUGGUAGUGGGGGAUAACGUUCGGAAACGGACGCUAAUACCGCAUACGUCCUACGGGAGAAAGCAGGGGACCUUCGGGCCUUGCGCUAUCAGAUGAGCCUAGGUCGGAUUAGCUAGUUGGUGGGGUAAUGGCUCACCAAGGCGACGAUCCGUAACUGGUCUGAGAGGAUGAUCAGUCACACUGGAACUGAGACACGGUCCAGACUCCUACGGGAGGCAGCAGUGGGGAAUAUUGGACAAUGGGCGAAAGCCUGAUCCAGCCAUGCCGCGUGUGUGAAGAAGGUCUUCGGAUUGUAAAGCACUUUAAGUUGGGAGGAAGGGUUGUAGAUUAAUACUCUGCAAUUUUGACGUUACCGACAGAAUAAGCACCGGCUAACUCUGUGCCAGCAGCCGCGGUAAUACAGAGGGUGCAAGCGUUAAUCGGAAUUACUGGGCGUAGAGCGCGCGUAGGUGGUUAGUUAAGUUGGAUGUGAAAUCCCCGGGCUCAACCUGGGAACUGCAUUCAAAACUGACUGACUAGAGUAUGGUAGAGGGUGGUGGAAUUUCCUGUGUAGCGGUGAAAUGCGUAGAUAUAGGAAGGAACACCAGUGGCGAAGGCGACCACCUGGACUGAUACUGACACUGAGGUGCGAAAGCGUGGGGAGCAAAC
This 745-nucleotide ribosomal RNA is filed under the name uncultured bacterium. RNAcentral describes it as "bacterial SSU rRNA". It matches the Rfam family "Bacterial small subunit ribosomal RNA", at positions 33 to 773 of the family's 1533-position model. The record is from RNAcentral.